AAAAGGUGGCUAUGCUACCGCUUUUGGAUGGGCCCGCGGCGCAUUAGCUAGUUGGUGGGGUAAAGGCUUACCAAGGCAAUGAUGCGUAGCCGAACUGAGAGGUUGAUCGGCCACAUUGGGACUGAGACACGGCCCAAACUCCUACGGGAGGCAGCAGUAGGGAAUCUUCCACAAUGGGCGAAAGCCUGAUGGAGCAACGCCGCGUGGGUGAAGAAGGUCUUCGGAUCGUAAAACCCUGUUGUUAGAGAAGAAAGUGCGUGAGAGUAACUGUUCACGUUUCGACGGUAUCUAACCAGAAAGCCACGGCUAACUACGUGCCAGCAGCCGCGGUAAUACGUAGGUGGCAAGCGUUAUCCGGAUUUAUUGGGCGUAAAGGGAACGCAGGCGGUCUUUUAAGUCUGAUGUGAAAGCCUUCGGCUUAACCGGGGUAGUGCAUUGGAAACUGGGAGACUUGAGUGCAGAAGAGGAGAGUGGAACUCCAUGUGUAGCGGUGAAAUGCGUAGAUAUAUGGAAGAACACCAGUGGCGAAAGCGGCUCUCUGGUCUGUAACUGACGCUGAGGUUCGAAAGCGUGGGUAGCAAACAGGAUUAGAUACCCUGGUAGUCCACGCCGUAAACGAUGAAUGCUAAGUGUUGGAGGGUUUCCGCCCUUCA
RNAcentral lists this ribosomal RNA (653 nucleotides) under uncultured bacterium. Its description in RNAcentral is "bacterial SSU rRNA". It matches the Rfam family "Bacterial small subunit ribosomal RNA", at positions 202 to 842 of the family's 1533-position model. The record is from RNAcentral.